This 982-nucleotide ribosomal RNA is filed under the name Sacculina pugettiae. RNAcentral describes it as "SSU rRNA". It matches the Rfam family "Eukaryotic small subunit ribosomal RNA", at positions 14 to 926 of the family's 1831-position model. The record is from RNAcentral. Lineage: Eukaryota; Metazoa; Arthropoda; Thecostraca; Sacculinidae.
CUGCCAGUAAUGAUAUGCUUGUGUUAAAGAUUAAGCCAUGCAUGUAUGAGUACAAGCCAAAAUAAGGUGAAACCGCGAAUGGCUCAUUAAAUCAGUCAUAAUUUGCUGGCCGAGACUGUGAUACAUGGAUAACUGUGGUAAUUCUAGAGCUAAUACAUGCAACCGAGACCUAGCCCGGCCCGUUCGCGGGUCGGCGGGUCGCUUUUAUUAGCUGAAAACCGAUGAUCGUUGGGCUCACGCUCGGCGGUCGUUAUCCGUUGAAUCACAAUAACAUUGCGUGGAUCGUACGGUCUUGUACCGACGACGCGCUCUCUAAAUGUCUGCCCUAUCAGCUGUCGACGGUUAGCUAGUGGCUGACCGUGGCUGUGACGGGUAACGGGGAAUCUGGGUUCGAUUCCGGAGAGGCAGCCUGAGAGACGGCUACCACAUCUAAGGAAGGCAGCAGGCGCGUAACUUACCCACUCCCAGCUCAGGGAGGUAGUGACAAUAAAUACCUUACAGAGGUGCCGUUCAUCGGUAUCUCUCAAACGGAAUGAGUACAAUGUGAAUCCUUUAACGAGGAUCAACUGGAGGGCAAGCCUGGUGCCAGCAGCCGCGGUAAUUCCAGCUCCAGUAGCAUAUAUUAAAGCUGUUGCGGUUAAAAAGCUCGUAGUUGGAUAUCAGUGCGUGUCCACGUCCGGUAUGCUCGGUUGGCUGCGUUCGCGCGUGGCCGCCGGGCUAAACAGUAUCGGCUGGCCGCAUUUAAAUGUGCCGGAUCCGUUGACGGGCCGUUUUUUCCGAAGCGGCCUGUCGGCGACCGGCGAUGUUACCUUGAACAAAUUUGAGUGCUCAAGGCAGGCUAUCAACGCCUGAAAAUAUAUUCAUGGAAUUGGAGAAUAUGUCCCUGACUCGAUUUGGUUGGUUUUUCGAGUCGAAGGGAAAUGAUUAAUAGGGACUGACGGAGGCAUUCGUAUUGCAGCGCGAGGGGUGGAAUCCUGUGACC